Molecule: non-coding RNA, 2135 nt
Organism: Theobroma cacao (cacao)
Lineage: Eukaryota; Viridiplantae; Streptophyta; Magnoliopsida; Malvales; Malvaceae
Source: RefSeq, a predicted model, not a curated record
UAAAAAGGAUUUUUUUUUGAAAAAAAGAGAGAGAGAGAGAGAAGGAAUUUCCAAUUUGAGUCUCUCUAAGGAAACACGGUUCACGCCCCUGCAAAUCUUUAGCUAUAUUUAGGGUACUUUUCAACCUUUCAUUUUUUUUUUUUUUAAUUUUUUUCUUUCAUUUUUGUUCUUCCAAAUUCGAUGCUUCUUCUUAUUCAAGCUGAGAAAAGCUCUGUCUAGGGUUAGGGUUUAGAAAAUAAACAAUUUAGACAAAAAAAUAAUAAAAGAAAAUUUGUCUAACCAGUAACCGGACGGAAGCCAUGGCUCGUCAAUGAAACAGGUGAUAAUCCCUAGCUCAGGGCUUCGAUUUUCGGUGCAGUUGGUACGGUGCGGCCUUUGGUUGUUCCUUUUGUGGUUUAUAUAUGGCGGCUGCGAAUCCACAGCCCCUACAGGCCCGUCUGUUUGAAGAGCACGCCCAAGGGACGAUACAGAUCGAGGACGACGAUGGAGAGUACGAAGAUGACGCCAUGGACGACGUGGAGGACGCGAAUGUCAACUCCGUGAAUGUGGCGGAGCAUGGAAUAGGAGUGGUAGGCGGCGUUAGUGGUGGCGGUGGUGGAGGCGUUGUUAUGGCGUCGAGAACUAGCGAGCUUACUCUCUCUUUUGAAGGAGAAGUUUACGUAUUCCCUGCUGUUACUCCUGAAAAGGUGCAAGCUGUGCUGUUACUCCUUGGGGGUCGUGAUAUCCCCACUGGUGUUCCAACAAUUGAAGUACCUUUUGAUCAAAAUAACAGGGGUGUAGGUGAUCUUCCAAAGCGCUCAAAUCUUUCAAGACGAAUCGCAUCCUUGGUUAGGUUCCGUGAGAAGAGGAAAGAGAGAUGUUUUGACAAGAAAAUUAGGUAUACCGUACGGAAAGAGGUUGCACAGAGGAUGCAUCGUAAAAAUGGACAGUUUGCGUCUUUAAAGGAAAGUACUAGUACUUCAAGCUGGGAUUCUUCACAAACUGGCGUUCAAGAUGGUACACCUCAUCCAGAAACUGUUGUCCGGAGAUGUCAACAUUGUGGUGUUAGUGAAAAUAAUACUCCAGCAAUGCGUCGAGGUCCAGCUGGUCCGAGGACUUUAUGUAACGCUUGUGGGCUUAUGUGGGCAAAUAAGGUAUGCCUCAGAAUAGUCUUUGGAAUGUUGCUAAUGUUGGGGACACUGAGAGAUCUCAGUAAAGGAGGGAGGAAUAUUUCCAUGGACCAAACUGAACCUGAAACACCAAUUGAUGUCAAGCCUUCAAUUAUGGAAGGGGACUUCCCUGGUAACCAGGAUGAACAUUUUAUGCAGGGAAAUCCUUCGAAGGAUGUCACUGAUGGAUCCAAUAAUGCUUCUAUCAACCCCGAUGAAGAAGUGGAUAUUUAUUUACAUAUUGAAGCAACUGACCAAGAUUCAGCAGAACAAUCCUCAGAAUUGAAAUAAAUUAUUGAUCCAGUCUAAUAGGUAAUAUAUUCUCUUUCUUGGUAACUUGCGUUUUCACAUGGUGCAGGAUUUGCAUGAAAGUGCAGAAGAUCUUACAAACUCCUUAUCUAUGGGAAUUGUCCAUCCCUCUGCAGAUGAUGAUGAGCAGGAACCUCUGGUUGAGCUUGCUAAUCCUUCAGAUACAGAAAUCAGCAUUCCUUCUAAUUUUGAUUAGAAGGUUUCAAUGGGCUUUGCUCCAAUAAAUUUAAGGGGAUGUGGGUAUUAGACACUUUACCCAGUUGGUUUCUCUCAUGUCUUUGUGCUUCGUACAGGUCGACAUUUAUGAUGUUUAUAUGGAGUCCAACAUAGCAGAUUGUGAGUUGCCAUAAUUAGGAAACCGGCUUGACAUUGAAUCCUAAGUACAGUUAUUAGCUAGUGACUGGAAAACACAUGCUGCUGCUUUCAGGCUGACUUUAGAUACUCUGAAGGUUCUCAUUGUUGAUAUAAGUGCUGAAAUCUGUGUACAAUUUGUUAGGAAAAAAUGCCAGAAUACUUUUACCCCGUUUAUAAAUAUGUGAUUUAUUUCUUAGGACUUUAAAAGGAUUAGUUUGUGCGAUGCUUAGUUUUGCUUGGCAGAGGCUUUGUACUUGGUGAUAUCGUGACCUUAAGUAGGGAUUCGAUUAAGAAAUGAAAAGGGCAUCCCACAAUGCUGUGAUA